Molecule: long non-coding RNA, 1153 nt
Filed under: Marmota monax (woodchuck)
Lineage: Eukaryota; Metazoa; Chordata; Mammalia; Rodentia; Sciuridae
Source: RNAcentral
AUAUAUUACACAGCAUAUAUGUUUUAUAAUAUAUAAACAUUAAUAUACACAUAAUGUAAACAAGAAUAUAUGUAUAUAAUUGUUCCCUUGAUGAAAUGUUUCUGUUUAAUCUAAAAAGUAGCUUUUCAGGGGAGGAAUAUUUAUCUGCCAUGGCCAAUGCACCAGGUCACUAGCUCUGAAGAGACCUGUUUAAUGACCUGAAGUACAAUGUAAUUGUUAGUAGAAAACUAGAGAGAGCAACAGAAUUUAUCUAACCAUAAAAUCGAACAUAACCCAUUGAUUAUGGGCUGAUGAUGAAGUUAUUAUCUAUUAAGAAAGAAAGAUUCUUUUGGUACUAGAAAUAUGGGUUACAUAACCAAAAAUAGUGAUGUUUUAUUGGCAAAAAUUACAGUAAAAACACAUACAAACAUCUCCUGAUGUCUUAAAUUUGACAUCUCUGAAUUACAGAGGAACCAUUUAUUUAGUUUAAUUUGGAGCUCAUAAUGCUCUUCUAGAUUGUAUUUUACUAUUAGGAAUUCUUUAAUAAUUUUUUAUCAGUGCAUAAUAAUUAGACAUAUUAGUGGGAUUUGUUGUUACAUGUUCACAUAUGUAUACAACAUAAUGUGGUUAGUUUCAUUCCCUGGAAGCAUUCUUUAUCUGUGAUGUCCAACAAAGUAGCCACUAUGUACAUGUAGCUCUUUAAGUUUCUAUUAAACAAAAUUAAAACUUCAGUUGCUGUCAUACACAAACUAGACUGCAAGUGUUCAAUUGCUGCAUGUAGCUGGUGACUACCUUAUUGGACAAAGCAGAAAGAGAAUAUUUCCAAUGUUGCAGAAGUUAGUUCUAUUGGCUAGUGCUGUUGUAGAAUGAGCAGAAAGGGAAAUGGAUUUUAGUUGCUAGCUGACUCAUCCAUGGCGCUGAACUGACCAGAAUCUGCUGUAUACCUCAAAGGGAUGCUUUCAGAGAAGCUGAAGACAGCCAUGGUAUAACUUCUAAGCAUGAUGUGCUUCUCAGAUUUAUCAAAGCUUAAAAAGGUUUGUGUUAAUCUCUCUCUUAGCUAAUUAAGAAAUAAUUGUUUGAAAUGUUUUUAACUUUUGCUUUGAAUUCUGUGGAACUGUAUGUAUGUGUACUAGUUUUCAUAUCAUUUGUCAUGAAAGUUUUAAUUUAUAAUUAA